AGUGAACGCUGGCGGCAGGCCUAACACAUGCAAGUCGAGCGGCAGCGCGUCCGACCACCCUCGGGUGGUCGGAUGGCGGCGAGCGGCGGACGGGUGAGGAAUGCAUCGGAAUCUGCCUCGUUGUGGGGGAUAACGUAGGGAAACUUACGCUAAUACCGCAUACGACCUACGGGUGAAAGUGGGGGACCUUCGGGCCUCACGCGAUGAGAUGAGCCGAUGCCGGAUUAGCUAGUUGGCGGGGUAAAGGCCCACCAAGGCGACGAUCCGUAGCUGGUCUGAGAGGAUGAUCAGCCACACUGGAACUGAGACACGGUCCAGACUCCUACGGGAGGCAGCAGUGGGGAAUAUUGGACAAUGGGGGCAACCCUGAUCCAGCCAUGCCGCGUAUGUGAAGAAGGCC
Molecule: ribosomal RNA, 400 nt
Filed under: uncultured bacterium
Lineage: Bacteria
Description: bacterial SSU rRNA
Rfam family: Bacterial small subunit ribosomal RNA
Source: RNAcentral